This 471-nucleotide ribosomal RNA is filed under the name uncultured bacterium. RNAcentral's name for it is "bacterial SSU rRNA". It matches the Rfam family "Bacterial small subunit ribosomal RNA", at positions 329 to 793 of the family's 1533-position model. The record is from RNAcentral.
CUACGCACUCCUACGGAGGCAGCAGUGGGGAAUAUUGCACAAUGGGCGCAAGCCUGAUGCAGCCAUGCCGCGUGUAUGAAGAAGGCCUUCGGGUUGUAAAGGUACUUUCAGCAGUGAGGAAGGUGGAUAUGUUAAUAGCAUAUUCAUUUGACGUUAGCUGCAGAAGAAGCACCGGCUAACUCCGUGCCAGCAGCCGCGGUAAUACGGAGGGUGCGAGCGUUAAUCGGAAUUACUGGGCGUAAAGCGCAUGCAGGUGGUUUGUUAAGUCAGAUGUGAAAGCCCGGGGCUCAACCUCGGAAUUGCAUUUGAAACUGGCAAACUAGAGUACUGUAGAGGGGGUAGAAUUUCAGGUGUAGCGGUGAAAUGCGUAGAGAUCUGAAGGAAUACCGGUGGCGAAGGCGGCCCCCUGGACAGAUACUGACACUCAGAUGCGAAAGCGUGGGGAGCAAACAGGAUUAGAUACCCUGGUAG